UUGAACGCUGGCGGCAUGCUUUACACAUGCAAGUCGAACGGCAGCGCGGGCUUCGGCCUGGCGGCGAGUGGCGAACGGGUGAGUAAUGCAUCGGAACGUGCCCAGUAGUGGGGGAUAGCCCGGCGAAAGCCGGAUUAAUACCGCAUACGACCUGAGGGUGACAGCGGGGGACCGAAAGGCCUCGCGCUAUUGGAGCGGCCGAUGUCGGAUUAGCUAGUUGGUGGGGUAAAGGCUUACCAAGGCGACGAUCCGUAGCUGGUCUGAGAGGACGACCAGCCACACUGGGACUGAGACACGGCCCAGACUCCUACGGGAGGCAGCAGUGGGGAAUUUUGGACAAUGGGGGCAACCCUGAUCCAGCCACGCCGCGUACGGGAAGAAGGCCUUCGGGUUGUAAACCGCUUUUGUUCGGGAAGAAAUCCUCUGGGCUAAUACCCCGGGGGGAUGACGGUACCGGAAGAAUAAGCACCGGCUAACUACGUG
This 483-nucleotide ribosomal RNA is filed under the name uncultured bacterium. RNAcentral describes it as "partial 16S ribosomal RNA". It matches the Rfam family "Bacterial small subunit ribosomal RNA", at positions 29 to 507 of the family's 1533-position model. The record is from RNAcentral.